UACAGAGACUGCAAGCGUUAUUCGGAUUCACUGGGCGUAAAGGGUGCGCGGGCGGUUGGGUGUGUCAGAUGUGAAAUCCCGAGGCUUAACCUCGGAACUGCGUCUGAAACUACUCGACUAGAGUACUGGAGAGGGUAACGGAAUUCACGGUGUAGCAGUGAAAUGCGUAGAGAUGUGGAGGAACACCGAUGGCGAAGGCAGCCCCCUGGGUCAACACUGACGCUCAUGCACGAAAGCGUGUGGAGCAAACAGG
This 253-nucleotide ribosomal RNA is filed under the name uncultured bacterium. RNAcentral's name for it is "partial 16S ribosomal RNA". It matches the Rfam family "Bacterial small subunit ribosomal RNA", at positions 524 to 776 of the family's 1533-position model. The record is from RNAcentral.